GAUGUCUCUGAAGGAACAACCGAGUUGGCUAUAGGACUGAACUGAGCACUGGGGGCACUGGGUCCCAAAGCUGGCCCUGCCACCAACCAGGUGUGAUGUGAAGCAACAUCCAAGUCAAUGGAAACAAGGAAUGGCUCCAGAGGGCCAACCUAGACCGAGGAGAGAGUCACGGGGAGCCAGACCAUAGAUUUCAGGAGUGAACCAGAUAAUCUCCCUCCAAGUCACUAAACGGUAAAGACACCUAGUUAACUGGGCGAGGCUGUGAAAUGCCUGGAGCAAGGAGGUGAUUACUUCGCUGUGAAUACCUGGAAUUCUAC
Long non-coding RNA from Molossus molossus (Pallas's mastiff bat), 317 nucleotides. RefSeq lists it as uncharacterized. The transcript has 3 exons. Lineage: Eukaryota; Metazoa; Chordata; Mammalia; Chiroptera; Molossidae. The record is from RefSeq and is a predicted model, not a curated record.